RNAcentral lists this ribosomal RNA (553 nucleotides) under uncultured archaeon. Its description in RNAcentral is "bacterial SSU rRNA". It matches the Rfam family "Archaeal small subunit ribosomal RNA", at positions 876 to 1429 of the family's 1478-position model. The record is from RNAcentral.
GCACCACAAGGCGUGAAGCUUGCGGUUCAAUUGGAGUCAACGCCGGGAACCUUACCGGGGGCGACAGCAGGAUGAAGGCCAGGUUGAUGGUCUUGCUGGACGAGCUGAGAGGAGGCGCAUGGCCGUCGUCAGUUCGUGCCGUGAGGUGUCCUCUUAAGUGAGGUAACGAUCGAGACCCGCGCCCCUUGUUGCUAACAGACUCCAUCGGGGUCUGUGCACACUAGGGGGACCGCCGUCGAUAAGACGGAGGAAGGAGCGGGCCACGGCAGGUCAGUAUGCCCCGAAUCCCCCGGGCCACACGCGAGCUGCAAUGGCAGGGACAAUGGGUGUCGACUCCGAAAGGAGGAGGUAAUCUCUAAACCCUGCCUCAGUUGGGAUCGAGGGCUGAAACCCGUCCUCGUGAAUAUGGAAUGCCUAGUAAUCGCGCGUCAUCAUCGCGCGGUGAAUACGUCCCCGCUCCUUGCACACACCGCCCGUCGUUCCAUCCGAGUGGGGUUUGGGUGAGGCGUAGUCCUUGGUGGCUGCGUCGAACUCAGGUUCCGCAAGGAGGGAA